UGUUUUUAUGUGUGCACCCUGGAAGAUAGGUCCAGAAGCCUUGCGAUUUCUUAGAUUAAAGGUUAGUUCUAUGUUUGUACGAUUCGUGCAACUUUUGUUUGGUAUCAUUCCUAGCGUGUGGGUUCUAUUACUUUAUGCUAGCAGUGUGAUUAUUACCCUUUUGAUUCCUAUUACCCUAUGCUUUAUCUUUCAGCUAAGUGUACUCGUGACCCUACCAGCACUUUUCAAGAUACUUUCGACGUAUUCAUUGCGGUGAACAACGCGGUUGGGACAGCACACUCACGACGUGGGAAGGUCACAGAAAUGUUGAAAGACAUCAGAUUGGGCAUACGCUUCACCCGUGCAACUUCGUCAUGUGCUCCACGGCUUUACGGCUGUGCCACUGUAUGUAAAAAAUGCUGAGUGAUUUUAAUAAAGA
Ornithodoros turicata is the source of this 418-nucleotide long non-coding RNA. RefSeq lists it as uncharacterized. The record is from RefSeq and is a predicted model, not a curated record. Lineage: Eukaryota; Metazoa; Arthropoda; Arachnida; Ixodida; Argasidae. The transcript is spliced from 3 exons.